RNAcentral lists this ribosomal RNA (431 nucleotides) under uncultured bacterium. RNAcentral describes it as "bacterial SSU rRNA". It matches the Rfam family "Bacterial small subunit ribosomal RNA", at positions 29 to 506 of the family's 1533-position model. The record is from RNAcentral.
GCGAACGCUGGCGGCAGGCUUAACACAUGCAAGUCGAACGGGCACUUCGGUGCUAGUGGCAGACGGGUGAGUAACACGUGGGAACGUACCUUUCGGUUCGGAAUAAUACAGGGAAACUUGUACUAAUACCGGAUAAGCCCUUCGGGGGAAAGAUUUAUCGCCGAUAGAUCGGCCCGCGUCUGAUUAGCUAGUUGGUGAGGUAAUGGCUCACCAAGGCGACGAUCAGUAGCUGGUCUGAGAGGAUGAUCAGCCACACUGGGACUGAGACACGGCCCAGACUCCUACGGGAGGCAGCAGUGGGGAAUAUUGGACAAUGGGCGAAAGCCUGAUCCAGCCAUGCCGCGUGUGUGAUGAAGGCCUUAGGGUUGUAAAGCACUUUUGUCCGGGAAGAUAAUGACUGUACCGGAAGAAUAAGCCCCGGCUAACUUCGU